RNAcentral lists this ribosomal RNA (542 nucleotides) under uncultured bacterium. RNAcentral describes it as "bacterial SSU rRNA". It matches the Rfam family "Bacterial small subunit ribosomal RNA", at positions 777 to 1319 of the family's 1533-position model. The record is from RNAcentral.
AAUAGAUACCCAGGUAGUCCAUGCCGUAAACGUUGGGCACUAGGUGUGGGGCUCAUUCCACGAGUUCCGUGCCGCAGCUAACGCAUUAAGUGCCCCGCCUGGGGAGUACGGCCGCAAGGCUAAAACUCAAAGGAAUUGACGGGGGCCCGCACAAGCGGCGGAGCAUGCGGAUUAAUUCGAUGCAACGCGAAGAACCUUACCAAGGCUUGACAUAUACCGAAAACUCGUAGAGAUACGGGGUCCGCAAGGGCGGUAUACAGGUGGUGCAUGGUUGUCGUCAGCUCGUAUCGUGAGAUGUUGGGUUAAGUCCCGCAACGAGCGCAACCCUCGUCCUAUGUUGCCAGCGGGUAAUGCCGGGGACUCAUAGGAGACUGCCGGGGUCAACUCGGAGGAAGGUGGGGAUGAGGUCGAAUCAUCAUGCCCCUUAUGUCUUGGGCUUCACGCAUGCUACAAUGGCCGGUACAAAGGGCUGCGAUACCGCAAGGUGGAGCGAAUCUCAAAAAGCCGGUCUCAGUUCGGAUUGGGGUCUGCAACUCGACCCC